UACGGAGGGUGCAAGCGUUGUCCGGAUUUAUUGGGUUUAAAGGGUGCGUAGGCGGCUUUUUAAGUCUGGGGUGAAAGCCCGUUGCUCAACAACGGAACUGCCCUGGAAACUGGAGAGCUUGAGUACAGACGAGGGUGGCGGAAUGGACGGUGUAGCGGUGAAAUGCAUAGAUACCGUCCAGAACACCGAUUGCGAAGGCAGCUGCCUAGACUGUAACUGACGCUGAGGCACGAAAGCGUGGGGAGCGAACAG
Molecule: ribosomal RNA, 252 nt
Filed under: uncultured bacterium
Lineage: Bacteria
Description: partial 16S ribosomal RNA
Rfam family: Bacterial small subunit ribosomal RNA
Source: RNAcentral